This 107-nucleotide small nuclear RNA is filed under the name Meriones unguiculatus (Mongolian gerbil). Lineage: Eukaryota; Metazoa; Chordata; Mammalia; Rodentia; Muridae. The record is from RNAcentral.
GUGCUCUCUUCAGGAGCACAUAUACUAAAAUUGGAACAAUAGAGAGAAUAUUAGUAAGGCCCAUACACAAGAAUGAGAUCCAAAUUUGUGAAACAUUCCAUUUUUUU